RNAcentral lists this unclassified non-coding RNA (212 nucleotides) under Hevea brasiliensis (rubber tree). The record is from RNAcentral. Lineage: Eukaryota; Viridiplantae; Streptophyta; Magnoliopsida; Malpighiales; Euphorbiaceae.
ACAACUUCGAAAAAUUCACGGACAGGAGCCUUUCUUCUAUUGCAAAAGGGUGCAAGAAUCUCACAGAUCUUAUUCUCAAUGACUGCCAUUUACUAACUGAUAGAAGCCUUGAAUUUGUAGCUCGUAGCUGCAAAAAAUUAGCACGCCUGAAGAUCAAUGGUUGUCAGAAUAUGGAAACUGCUGCACUGGAGCACAUUGGACGUUGGUGCCCG